RNAcentral lists this ribosomal RNA (497 nucleotides) under uncultured bacterium. RNAcentral describes it as "partial 16S ribosomal RNA". It matches the Rfam family "Bacterial small subunit ribosomal RNA", at positions 28 to 507 of the family's 1533-position model. The record is from RNAcentral.
GAUGAACGCUGGCGGCGUGCCUAAUACAUGCAAGUCGAGCGAACGGACGAGAAGCUUGCUUCUCUGAUGUUAGCGGCGGACGGGUGAGUAACACGUGGAUAACCUACCUAUAAGACUGGGAUAACUUCGGGAAACCGGAGCUAAUACCGGAUAAUAUUUUGAACCGCAUGGUUAAAAAGUGAAAGACGGUCUUGCUGUCACUUAUAGAUGGAUCCGCGCUGCAUUAGCUAGUUGGUAAGGUAACGGCUUACCAAGGCAACGAUGCAUAGCCGACCUGAGAGGGUGAUCGGCCACACUGGAACUGAGACACGGUCCAGACUCCUACUGGAGGCAGCAGUAGGGAAUCUUCCGCAAUGGGCGAAAGCCUGACGGAGCAACGCCGCGUGAGUGAUGAAGGUCUUCGGAUCGUAAAACUCUGUUAUUAGGGAAGAACAUAUGUGUAAGUAACUGUGCACAUCUUGACGGUACCUAAUCAGAAAGCCACGGCUAACUACGUG